AGGCCGGGGCCCGGGGCCAGACCGGUUUCCAAAACCAGUCGGGUGAGUUCGACUCUUACACGGCCUGCCA
RNAcentral lists this transfer RNA (70 nucleotides) under Planctomycetota bacterium. RNAcentral describes it as "tRNA-Trp". The record is from RNAcentral. Lineage: Bacteria; Pseudomonadati; Planctomycetota.